This 58-nucleotide transfer RNA is filed under the name Ursus americanus (American black bear). It matches the Rfam family "tRNA", at positions 8 to 63 of the family's 71-position model. Rfam says of the family: Transfer RNA (tRNA) molecules are approximately 80 nucleotides in length. Their secondary structure includes four short double-helical elements and three loops (D, anti-codon, and T loops). RNAcentral also lists the same sequence under 2 other names. The record is from Rfam by way of RNAcentral. Lineage: Eukaryota; Metazoa; Chordata; Mammalia; Carnivora; Ursidae.
UGGCUCAGUUGGUAGAGCAUGUGACUCUUGAUCCCAGGGUCGUGAGUUCAAGCCCCAC